AUUAUCAACACUGGUGGAAGUCGAUUAAACUGGGUCAUUUAGAGAUAAACGCAUCUGAGUUGUAAAUGGCGACUUUAUUUUGCUUUUUCAGUGCCUAACUUUGAAAGGACUGAACGGAACCAGGAAAGCACUAGAAAAGAUUGUACAGUCUUGUGUCUGUGAUCUUGUAGCAAACAAGAAACAGUGAUGUCCAUUUCAAAAGUAUUUUUCGUAAGGUUUAUGGCUGAUAGAGUCAGAUAUAGAUUGAUGAAUUUGGUUACUGCUGCCUACUGCGGGAGAGCUGACAUCUUAUGUCUCUUCUUGGGGCACAAAGUAAGCCUGGAAUUGAGGUCGAGCAUUCUGUAUACCGCUGAGAGAUAUAUAGCUCUUUCUGAUGUUGUCAAAAAUGGUUAGAAUACAUGGAAAACUAAACGA
This is a long non-coding RNA of Liolophura sinensis, 414 nucleotides long. RefSeq lists it as uncharacterized. Lineage: Eukaryota; Metazoa; Mollusca; Polyplacophora; Chitonida; Chitonidae. The transcript is spliced from 3 exons. The record is from RefSeq and is a predicted model, not a curated record.